UGGAAAUUGGGCUCUUGGCAAGAUUGCCUUUUUCUUGUGGUUUACUAAGGUUUGUAAACUGACACUCAGGUCCUGUGAUCUCUAUUAGUUCAACCAUUUGUUUUCUGUUCUUUCUUUUGUUCUUGGGCAGCCAGGAGUGCCUGAGGACUGUCACACCCGUCCCCCCGGGACAUGUUAGCUUGUGCUUUGCCCUCAGCUUGCCUUAUGCUCCCUCUUCAAUUUCUGUGCCCGCUGUGGGGCUCGAACUCAAGACCCUGAGAUCAAGAGUCCCAUGCCCUACCAACUGAGCCAGCCAGACAUCGGGAUCACAAUAUAACAGUCCUGGGUUAGCCAGCAUCUGAGAUGAAAAUUCAGAGGCCAGCGUCUCCCAGGAAGAGUUAAGUGAUGUGUAUGCAGGCGGCGUGUCCUCUUCAUCGGGCUGUGUUCUGGCAGACAGGCCCCCUGGGCCACGGAGGAAGAGGACCAGGGGACCCAGGUGGAUCCUUGCACUGAGGACAACACAAAUCCUAGUAAGCCGACCUCCCUGCAGCCAGAGGUCAUUUCUGCCUCCCCUCCCCCUGCCCCAACCCUGGAGGAAAAGCAGAAGGUGAGGACACCGGGGUGGGGAGGUGCCCAGUGCUGUCUGAAGUUGGCCUACCAGCAACACGAGGUAAGAGGCCCAGGGAUGGGCAUGUUCAAGGCCGGAGGGUGAGUCUGCCCUGGCCCCGGGCAGAUCCGGGGAGUCGCCGGGCUGGGUGUCUGCAGAGCAGUGCUCCUCAGAUGUUCU
RNAcentral lists this long non-coding RNA (766 nucleotides) under Suricata suricatta (meerkat). RNAcentral describes it as "lncRNA (ENSSSUG00005004659.1)". The record is from RNAcentral. Lineage: Eukaryota; Metazoa; Chordata; Mammalia; Carnivora; Herpestidae.